AUGAGUUUAAUUUUAUUAUAUCUAGAGCCCGAGUAAUUAAUUCUGUAGGGGUGUUUUAACACCUAGUGCCCUAAGGUCAACUGGUCUGGGAGUCACUGGCCUAAAGCUCGCUAUAUGGGUUAUAGAUAUAUUGUUUGGUUAUUUAUUAAAAACACGAGUAAUUAAGUCUGUAAGGGUGUUUCAACACCUAGUGCCCUAAGGUCAACUGGUCUGGGAGUCACUGGCCUAAAACUCGCUACAUGAGUUAUAGAUAUAUUGUUUGCUUAUUUAUUAAAAACCCGAGUAAUUAAGUCCGUAUGGGUGUUUCAACAUUUAGUGCCCUAAGGUCAACUGGUCUAGGAGUCACUGGCCUAAAGCUCGAUACAUGGGUUAAAAAUGUAAUUUUCAAAAAAAAAAGCUUGAAUAAUCUACUAUCUGAAAAUAAAAUUUCUAAUGAGUUUUAGAACGAAAAUGUUGUUUUCUUUUAAUGAAACCCGAUAAGUAUUGUGUUAAUUACUUGAGCAGAAAAGAAGGUUUAUAAUAUUCUGGAUAAUAAGUGAACGACCAAGAGUUAAAAAAAAAACAAUUGGGAGAGUUUAU
RNAcentral lists this long non-coding RNA (579 nucleotides) under Citrus x clementina. RNAcentral's name for it is "Citrus clementina (C. clementina) long non-coding RNA (CCLE_LNC000461)". The record is from RNAcentral. Lineage: Eukaryota; Viridiplantae; Streptophyta; Magnoliopsida; Sapindales; Rutaceae.